Long non-coding RNA from Hyaena hyaena (striped hyena), 1353 nucleotides. RefSeq lists it as uncharacterized. The transcript is spliced from 2 exons. The record is from RefSeq and is a predicted model, not a curated record. NCBI's taxonomy places the organism in Eukaryota, Metazoa, Chordata, Mammalia, Carnivora, Hyaenidae.
AGCCAUCUGCUGGCCCAGGGUCCCCACAAGCUGGCUGUGCCCUCCGGCGCCGGGCCCGGCUGCCCUUUGGGGGGCUCGGGGCUGUGGCGGCCCUGGGCUCCACGGGGCUCCAGAAAGGCCCUCGGGUACUGCCUGUGCCCGCUCACUGCAGCUCCCCGACACCACGCCCAGGCCUUUCCUGAACCCCGACUUCCCUGCCCAGGAGCCCACAGCCUCCGUGGGUGGGGCUGCCCCCAGGUUCCCAGGCCCAGGACCCUCCCCGGGGGCCCAGCCAGCUGGCGGCGGGGUCCAAACGAUCAUGCCAGUGCUGCCCAUGGAGGGGCUGGUGUCCCCUCCCCACGCCCAGCCCGGAGCCAGCUGUCAGCAGUGCGCCCCGCAGUGAGGACGCCCACACCCCUGCGGGGGCCCCGCUCUGCCCCUUGACCCGGGCCCUCCGUCCAGUGCCACUGCUUCCCUGCGCCCGUCUGCCCGCCUGCCGCCCCCCCCCCCCCGACCAGCAUGGGGGCCGCGCAGCUGCUCCCGGGCAAGAGCAUUUAUUUCUCUGCGGCUUCUCGUGCGACGCGGCUUCGCGCCUGAGCCCGGGGUGGGGGGCAGGACCGUCCUGGCUGCCGGAGCGCCUGCCUGCGCCUGGGCUCAGUGACCCCACGGUUUCCUCCGAGAACCCGUGAAGCUCCUCGUGGUGAUUUUCCUAAAACGAAGGCAGGUGAACCCUAGAUCCGUCUCACGUUGUAAAGCUUCCAACACAAGGGCCAGGAAGCCUCCCCUUGGCACUGCCGGUGGAUGUCUCCGGGGGUCUGGCUUUGCACGCCUUUUGGGACCGGGAGCUCCCUCCCUCCCUGUGGCUCUGACGGAGGCCACAGCACAGCUGGUGCGGCUGGAAGUGACCGCGGAGCGCCAGCACGCAGAGGAAGUCGCCGCAGCCCCAGGGAGCAGACCCCAAGGGGCCCGGGACACGCAUCUCUUCUGGGAGUAGAUCCGGCAAGGGGAGGGCCAGCUCAACACGCUGACCGUGAGGACAGCCUGGGGGCUCCUGGGGAGGGCCCGCAGCAGCAAGAACCGUUCCCUCCCACUGUGCCAUCUGCAUCACUGACUCGAGACAGCGCCUCUGCCCCAGGGCCUGCCGACCUCUGUGGGGACACGGCGAUGGGGCUCGGACUCUGGCCACCGGAGCCGGAAUCCGUGAUGUCUUGCCCACGUGGGCUCACAGGCGCGUCAGCCGCUCCGGCGUCUGCACCCCACAGCGCCUCCAGGACGUACGGGCUCAGCGAAUGAAGUCUGGUUCUGGGAGCUGGCACGGAGGUGGUUAGACAGCGAGGCUUUUAAUUAAAAGUGAAAACGUAAUUACAGUGGAAA